Nerophis lumbriciformis (worm pipefish) is the source of this 8397-nucleotide long non-coding RNA. RefSeq lists it as uncharacterized. Lineage: Eukaryota; Metazoa; Chordata; Actinopteri; Syngnathiformes; Syngnathidae. The record is from RefSeq and is a predicted model, not a curated record.
UUGUGUGGCAAAAUAGUUGACUAUAGGUGGGUUGCAAUCACGUGACCUAGAGACACAUCUGGGCACUUCUGGGUUUCAGGCGAUGGUUUGAGCCCCAUUAGGCUUCUGUUUAUUUACCUGAAUCAGUGCAGAUUUAAGCUUACUUGGAAAGGUUUAGAGGCAAAUUUAAAACCGAUCAUGAAAAAAAUAUGUUUAAUGAAGAGGGACAAGCGGUAGAAAAUGGAUGGAUGGAUGGAUGGAUGAAGUAGAUUUUUACAUUAUUAAGAAACAUAUAUUUUUUUAAGGAUUUAUACGAUUUUAUCAUCACCAUUACUGCUACCGCACUUCACUUGACACUUAGGGUAUUUAGAGAAUAAUAGAUUGGAGGUACAUCAUGUCUUUACAUCUGAGGGGUCCACAAUAUAAACAUUAAUCCAUGAAAUACAAAAUUGGAGUGAUUUGUGCAUCGCUAAGUAACGUAUUUGAUUGACAAGACGAGUGCCAUACUGCUGUGAUCGUGACGCUAAUGAGAAAAAGGAUACGUUUGUUUGCAGUUUAUUUCCUGCUACAAAUAUUAGUCUCAUUUACAAUUCAUGUCUGCUGUAGUUUUUAUGAUGUGAAAUUCGUAUUUUGUCUCAUUAUUUAGCUGUAUAUGUCCCUGUUGUUCAGCAAUGUUUGCUCGCGAUAUCAAGAUUCAGUAUAUGCUGUUGAGACUACAAUAGAUUUAUUCAUCUAGUUUAUUAAUACUAUUAGGGAUAUUUUCUUGAUGCUAACAAAUAUCACCAAAUACGCUAUAAUGUGGUCAUCCGUGUCGAAUAAAGCACUUGUCUCUCCUACACAACAACAACCAAGCUUUUAGUUUUUGUUAUGAAAAUCGACAAGAUAGAUAAAGUGGAUUGGACCCACAAUCACAAUAUUUAUUAGUAGGACUUAACAUGACGUUAGUUUUUUGCACAAGCAGGUCUUAGUAGUUACAGAGUAUUUAGGCAUAGCAACUACAAAAGAACACAAACUAAUGCGAUCUAUUGUCAUUUCUAUACGUUUAUUACUCAUUGUAUUACCUAUUCUGUGUUAUAUGUGUUUUAUGUUGCGCGAUUGGACCAAGAAAAAUUCCUAGUUUGUGAACCCGUUCUCAAACAAUGGCAAUAAAAACUAUUCGGAUUCUGAUUAGUUCUGCUAUCAAACACUACUAUUAUAGUAGAGAAUAAACUCGAUUGCAUCACAGAAAGUUUCCCAAACAAAUCAAAUGUUCAAACAAACAUUUUACAAAGUGAUCUCUGCAGACACAACAAUGGUCCGAUUGUAUUCCCCAAGAUGAUGAAAGUGAUAUUUUGAAGAGCCAUUUUCUUCCACACACUUUAAUUUUUUUCCUGACUUUAUGAACCACUUCUUUCGGAACUUUACGAAAGCUGUUUCCUAUCUCUCUAUUUGAAGGACUGGAACACCCAAGAACCGAACAGCAAUAUUACAUUUUCUGCUCAAACUCUCCAAUCACUCUCACUUGUUUUAAUGCUACGCUCAAACUGCUUGACCAUCGUGUCAAUUAAGCCGCAAAGAACUUUUAUUUUGGUUCAUUUUCGGUAGAGAUGUCCGAUAAUGGCUUUUUUGCCGAUAUCCGAUAUUCCGAUAUUGUCCAACUCUUAAUUACCGAUUCCGAUAUCAACCGUCGUGGAAUUAACACAUUAUUAUCCCUAAUUUUGUUGUGAUGCCCCGCUGGAUGCAUUAAACAAUGUAACUUUACCAUGAAUUGAUUAACGUGGACCCCGACUUAAACAAAAACUUAUUCGGGUGGUCAAUUGUAAUACAGUUUUGUAUCUGUCAGACACACUUUAAAAUAAUCCCAAACCAUAGACAUGGUGUCGUUAGUCAGUCACCGAGCGAGCUCGCUUGUUAGCCAGGCUACAGCACCGGCAACAACACACUCUUGUUGUUGUUAUGUUCCGCUCGUUGCGUUUUGAUGAAGUCGUCAAGCUUCGCCAGUAAACCUCUCAUGCUGCAGUCGUCAACUCCUGUGUUGUGUGUGGGAGAGGAGAGAGGGGAGAGGGGAGACGGGCUGCUGAAUGGGAGACGCAACUGCUCUGUACUGCUCCCUACGUCCGUGUUUUACCAGAUAUGUACCGCUCCGUACAGCGGCGUUUUAAAAAGUCAUUAAUUUUACUUUUUGAAACCGAUACCGAUAAUUUCUUAUAUUACAUUUUAAAGCAUUUAUCGGCCGAUAUUAUCGGACAUCUCUAAUUUUCGGGCUUUCCACGGCAGACGUGGGAAUGACUGGGAUUUUUAUGCUCAUGUUAAGGGUUAAGUUUCCUUCCUUCUUGGCAUCUGUCAAUAAUGUUAAUUGAUCAAUAAACUUGCCUUGUUUUCUAUCUCCUAUGUUAUAGUAUGUUCUUUCCAUUGUGACUAGGCAGGGGCUUGCUUUCCAUGAGGUAAGUUUAAUCGAACAUUUUAAACAAAUAAUAAAUGUGGUAUCCUACAGUUGGUGUCUAUAUGUGGCAACAUACUGUUCAUUUUGAGAAGACAAUCAUGAAUUCUUCUCACCACUGGCACACGAUUUCAGAUGGACAUGCCUUUGAUCAGGGAGUGGUGGUGCCUUCUUUUAAUCCAGCCAUCCAUCCAUUGUCCCUCUCGGGGUCGCGAAGGUGCUAAAGCCUAUCCCAGCUGCAUUAAUAGAGUGUUUCAAAAUAGAAAGGUAUGUCAUGUUCAGAUCUAUGUUAACAAUGAAUACUUUAUACAGUCGUGGUCAAAAGUUUACAUACUCUUGUAAAGAACAUAAUGUCAUGGCUGUGUUGAGUUUCCAAUAAUUUCUACAACUCUUAUUUUUUUGUGAUAGAGUGAUUGGAGCACAUACUUGUUGGUCACAAAAAAACAUUCAUGAAGUUUGGUUCUUUUAUGAAUUUAUUAUGGGUCUACUGAAAAUGUGACCAAAUCUGCUGGGUCAAAAGUAUACAUACAGCAAUGUUAAUAUUUGGUUACAUGUCCCUUGGCAAGUUUCACUGCAAUAAGGCACUUUUGGUAGCCAUCCACAAGCUUCUGGUUGAAUUUUUGACCACUCCUCUUGACAAAAUUGGUGCAGUUCAGCUAAAUUUGUUGGUUUUCUGACAUGGACUUGUUUCUUCAGCAUUGUCCACACAUUUAAGUUAGGACUUUGGGAAGGCCAUUCUAAAACCUUAAUUCUAGCCUGAUUUAGCCAUUCCUUUACCACUUUUGACGUGUUUUUGGGGUCAUUCUCCUGUUGGAACACCCAACUGUGCCCAAGACCCAACCUCCGGGGUUAUGAUUUUAGGUUGUCCUGAAGAAUUUGUCCCAUUUACUCUCUGUAAAGUACCAGUUCCAUUGGCAGAAAAACAGGCCUAGAGCAUAGUACUACCACCACCAUGCUUGACGGUAGGGAUGGUGUUCCUGGCAUUAUGUUCUUUACAAGUGUAUGUAAACUUUUGACCAUGACUGUAUGUGAUCGAUCAACAAGUGAUUCGCUAAGCUAGUUGAACAUCUGACUAAAAACACAGACUCUUAAAUUGUGGCUUAGGAGGAUCAAAAUAAACGACUUGAUUGGUAGAAUAUCAAUCAUGACCUGUAACUCUAUGUAUAGCUCAGUGGUUCUUAACCUGGGUUCGAUCAAACCCUAGGGGUUCGGUGAGUCGGCCUCAGGGGUUCAGUGGAGCCUCCGCCGGGGAGGUCAAGACACACCCGACUCAUCUUGUAAAUAAAAACUUCUCCCUAACGGCGUACUAUGGAUACCCCCAAACAAUGUUCCCUCUAAUUUUCCAUCUGAUUUGCAAGAGUGUAAUUUAAUGUGAGUUUAUGCACUGUGUUGGUUUUGUUCUUUGAACGGUUCAUUUGGUGCACCAGUAAAAAAAACAUAUAAAUUUGUCUUUAAUUAAAAAAAAAAAAAAGUUUAAUUUUUCACUAAGGAAGGGUUUGGUGAAUGCACAUAUGAAACUGGUGAGGUUCGGUCCCUCAAACAAGGUUAAGAACCACUGGUAUAGCUGCUUCAAACAGGAAUAUGUAUACCUGUACAUUUUUUAAAUGUCAUAAUUUGGAUGAGCCCUGUGAUGACGUGGCGACUUGUCCAGGGUGUACCCCGCCUUCCGCCCGAUUGUAGCUGAGAUAGGCUCAAGCACCCCCCGCGACCCCGAAGGGAAUAAGCGGUAGAAAAUGGAUGGAUGGAUGGAUAAUUUGGAUGAAUGAUUUGCUUGUUUCUGUGAUGAGGUGGCGACCUGUCCAGGGUGUACCCCGCCUUCCGCACGAAUGCAGCUGAGAUAGGCUCCAGCACCCCCCGCGACCCCAAAAGGGAAAAACGGUAGAAAAUGGAUGGAUGGAUUUGCUUGUUUUAGGUCAUGAUAAGAAGUUAGCCUUUUGGCCAACCGGGGCCAAAAGGCUGGUGAAGGGAGAGCUACCACCUGUGUUCAGGGUGCCUCGACAGAGUGGCCUCACGACUCAACUUCACCCCCAACUUCAAGCAGUCAGUGAGGCUAAAAAAAAAAGAAAAAAAAAAGGCACUGUGGGACUUCAAUGUGCAUUCACAAGGAGCGGAGCAGCAUUUGAUGGUAAUUUUCAAAUUGUUUACAUUUUCUCAUCACCACUGCUAAGUGAUUAAAAUGGCACUCUGCCACAACAACCCUUUGUUAGGAUUAUUCUCAGAAAUAGUAUUACACACACCACCAAACUAACAAGCUUUUUUUCUAGUGUUAAAAUAUGCAUGUAUUUAAUUCAGCUGCCAUUUAUAGUCAGUAUUUUAGGGAGCUCUUGCCACACUAAAUCGUUAAUUUCCCAAGCCUUUUUCUCAGAGUAUACUCGGUGCAAAGCCAUCCAAGUGGGCAGCGAUGAAGCAGGUCCCUGUUUAACUAGACCGGGGGUCAGCAACCCGCGGCUCUCGAGCCCGAGUGGCUCCCUGGACCUCUUUCAGAGAUGUGUGAAAAUGGAAAAAGAUUAAAAAAAUAUAUAUUUUUUUUGUUUUAAUAUAUUUUCCGUAGGAGGACAAACAUGACACAAAUCUUCCUAAUUGAUCGAAAUCCCACUGUUUAUAUUAAACAUGCUUCACUGAUGCGAACAUUUGGCGAGUGCCAUUUUGUCCCACUGAUCCUUUAACUCACCAUAGUUUGUUUACAUGUACAACUUUUUCCGACGCUGCCACAGAAAUACGUGAUUUAUGCCACUCCUUCUUUGUCUCAUUUUGUUCACCAAACGUUUUAUGCUAUGCACAAAGGUGAGCUUUGUUGAUUUUAUUGAUUUGCUGGAGUGCUAAUCAGGCAUAUUAGCAAAAUUGAUGUUAACAUGCUAUUUAGGCUAGCUGUAUGUACAUAUUGCAUCAUUAUGCCUCGUUUGUAGGUAUAUUUGAGCUCAUUUAAUUUCCUUUACUUAUGUCCUCUGUGUAUUUAAUUUAGAUGUGCAUGUCUCAUGACACAUUAUCUGUAUGUAAUAUUGGCUGCAUUUCUGAUAGUCAAUUGUGUGCCAUGUUGUUCCAGACCACAGCAAACAUUACCCAGCUUGCAAAGAUUGCAACAAAUCCAUUAGAAGAUUUCCUUAAACUUGGACACCAUACUUGCCAACCUUGAGACCUCCGAAUUCGGGAGAUUGGGUGGGGGGUUGGUGGUAGCGGGGGUGUAUAUUGUAGCGUCCCGGAAGAGUUAGGGAUGCAAGGUAUUCUGGGUAUUUGUUCUGUUGCAUUUCUGUUGUUGUGUUACGGUGCGGAUGUUCUCCCGAAAUGCGUUCGUCAUUCUUGUUUGGUGUGGGUUCACAGUGUGGCGCAUAUUUGUAACAGUGUUAAAGUUGUUUAUACGCCCACCGUCAGUGUGGCCUGUAUGGCUGUUGAUCAAGUAUGUCUUGCAGUCACUUACAAAAGCCACAUACAACAUGUGACUGGGCCGGCACGCCGUUUGUAUGGUGUAGAAGCGGACGCGUCGACAGGUUGUAGAGGACGCUAAAGGCAGUGUCAUCACGGCACGCCCUCAAUAUUGUUGUCCGGGUGAAAAUCGGGAGAAAUUCGGGAGAAUGGUUGCUCCGGGAGAUUUUCGGGAGGGGCACUGUAAUUCGGGAGUCUCCCGGAAAAAUCGCGAGGGUUGGCAAGUAUGUUGGACACACACAUCUACUGUAUAUGUCACAACGGGGUUUUCGCAGCUUACUGCGGGGUCAGUUCUCCCGAAAUGCAAGCGGACCACUCCGGACAUGGCGUGCAGGUAGGAACAUGAUUUAAUUAUCAAAACUCAAAGAGGUACAAAAAACAGAAAACGAGCCGACCGAACAACGUGCCUGAUCGCACUUGAAGCUAAAGCUAACACUUAGCAUGGACUAUGGACAAUGAAUAAUCACGUAACUUUGGCAUUAAACAAACAAUUUACGUAGACAGGUUGCAUGAAGCAAAUAAUAACGCCAGGCCUACUGACUGGCAAAGGCAGGCUUAAACAAUGCCUCUGAUUAGUGCUCGGGAAGCAAGUGAGCGGGUGAACACUAAUCAGAGACAGGUGGAAAUAAUAAGUAACCAUGGUAACUAAAACAAACAAGGGUGCACAAAAACAGGAACUAUGGAGUCCAAAACUAACAGAACAUAACAAAACAUGAUCCGGACCACGGAUCAUGACAGUAUACCUUUGGCCAUUCUAAACCAGUCAUUUCCAGAAGUUAUCUCAUCCUGUGAGAAGCCUCCAUUUUACUAAGGAUUUGCAGACGAGUUGCAAAAAUGUGUAGAAUGAAAAUUAAAAUACAACAUUUCUGUCAACGAAGAGUUGCGUCAGCCUUUGAUAGUAGGCUAAUAUUCUCAUGACUUGGUCCUGGGUGUUUGCUUUUCCGGGAUGCAACGGAAAGUUGGCUCGGGCGAGACGGGAAUAUGAGUACAUUAUUUAUUUAAUAUAUUUAAAAAAAGUACAAACGAAAAGCGCGCACAGUGGCGGAGAAAACGACUUGGCUAUGAAAACAAAUACUUGCACAAAGGCAGAAACUAUGAACAACAAAAAACACUAACUGUGGCUUAAUAAACAAAGACUUACUUGGCAUGGAACCGGCAUGAAAAAAGAGCAGCAAGGGUCAUAAGGGUGUGGCGAGUGUGUAGAAGCAUAAAUGCAGGGAUGUCGUCAGAACGACAAACUGAAAACAAUUAACUUAAAUACUAUAGACAUGAUUAACGAAAACAGGUGCGUGACUCAAAAUGUGAAACAGGUGCGUGACGUGACAGGUGAAAACUAAUGGUUGCUAUGGUGACAAAACAAAAGUGCAAAAAAGUCCAAAAACAAAACCGAACAUGACCAAAACAAAAACAUGAUCACACAGACAUGACAAAUAUAGACACUUACAUCAUGUGUUGCCUUCAUUAUAAUACUUACAUAAGGCUUUUAAUUUUUUGCGGCUCCAGACAGGUUUUUGUUUUGUAUUUUCGGUCCAAUAUGGCUCUUUAAAUAUUCUGGGUUGCCUACCCCUGACCUAGACAGAGAAGAAGAACAGAAGACCCUCUUCACCCAUCUGAAGUCACUCCUCACCACAACUCCAUCAACAGUGCAAUAUACACUGAGGAUGUGAAAUUAAUCUGUGAAGUUAUUUUCCCAGAGGUCUUUUUAUAUUGCAUUUCUGCAGUGAAUGGCAUUUCCUGUUGUCCAUCAAAGGCAAGAGAAGGAAAGUAGGAACACUGAUGUGAAGUGGACGAGUUCUGCGGGAGGCUGGAAAGGCAGUUGAGGAAGGAAGGAGCACUGCCAUAAAGUCUGUUUUGUGGAAAGUUUAGCUUGUGCAAUAAAACAUUUAAAACCAUUUCAUUUAAUCUAUUUCAUUGGAGGCUAUUUAAGGCUGGUUUGUCAAUAUAACCCCAUGCAAUAGAGCAUAUAAAAUAAUUUCAUUUAAUUGUUGGCUAUUUAGUAGACUACUGCAACGCACUUCUUGUCGGGAUCCCCAGCAAGAACAUCCAGAAGCUGCAAUACAUACAGAAUGGUGCUGCUAGGAUCCUGAUAAGAGUGCGGAAAUACGACCAUAUCACACCAAUUCUAAAAUCCCUUCACUGGCUUCCUGUUCCACUCAGGAUUGAAUACAAAGUCUCCCUACUAACCCACCAGUGCCUCCAUGGAAAUGCCUCCCUCUACCUCAAAGAACUACUCACCCCCAAAUCCUCCACCCGACACCUCCGCUCCGGACAGGCUAACCUCCUCCAACCUCAGAGGACAAAGCUACAAACAAUGGGAGACCGGGCUUUCUGCUCCGCCGCUCCCAGUCUGUGGAACGCUCUCCCUGACCACCUGAGGGCACCACAGACUGUGGAUGCUUUUAAAAAAGGCUUAAAAACUCUUCUUUUUAAAAAAGCCUUUUUUUUUUUUUUUAGAUAUAUGCAUACUAGUUCUAGCUAUGAAGCUGUUCUAGUUUUUAUUUUUUUAUUAUCUUUUUAUUUUUUUAUUUUUUUAAUACACUGUAGCACUUUGAGGUUGUUUGCUCAAUGUAAAGUGCUUU